This is a long non-coding RNA of Nylanderia fulva, 511 nucleotides long. RefSeq lists it as uncharacterized. Lineage: Eukaryota; Metazoa; Arthropoda; Insecta; Hymenoptera; Formicidae. The record is from RefSeq and is a predicted model, not a curated record.
GUGACGCGACAUCGCCGGCGAGUUUCGGCGCGCUGCGGUUGGCAGCCGUGGAAACGCGCGGAGCGCCGCGGUGGCGAAUGGAUGGAAGAGGGAGAGAGAGAGGACGUUCAUUACGCUCGCUCUCCGCUCCCGAGGAGCCUAUUCAGCUCGAAACGCAGCACGCAGCAUUGCGGAUCGUUUAUGACUCGGAAUAAGAAGCGGCGGGUCUUGUUUGUUUAUGUAUUUCAAAUGUAGCGGAGAAAGAGAAAUGGCUAUAUCGGUCGAGAUCGAAGGGAUACUUGAUUUGAUAAUAGGGUGUCUGGGCUACCUGAAAAUCCUGAGAAGAAUGCGACGUCUGAAGAAGAGAUAAAACAGUAGCACGAGAUGUGACAAGAGAGACGAAGAGAACGAGAGGAAGAAGCAGCUUCCGUGCUCUCUUUCCGUAGACCGAAGGAUCGAUUGUUCCGGUCCUUUCGCCUUUCUCCGCAGGGGUGCUCACCGAGAAAUUUUCCACCUGGGCGACAAAAAUUCG